RNAcentral lists this ribosomal RNA (983 nucleotides) under Phaeosphaeriaceae sp. Its description in RNAcentral is "SSU rRNA". It matches the Rfam family "Eukaryotic small subunit ribosomal RNA", at positions 108 to 1101 of the family's 1831-position model. The record is from RNAcentral. Lineage: Eukaryota; Fungi; Ascomycota; Dothideomycetes; Pleosporales; Phaeosphaeriaceae.
AGUUAUCGUUUAUUUGAUAGUACCUUACUACUUGGAUAACCGUGGUAAUUCUAGAGCUAAUACAUGCUGAAAACCCCAACUUCGGGAGGGGUGUAUUUAUUAGAUAAAAAACCAAUGCCCUUCGGGGCUUCUUGGUGAUUCAUGAUAACUUUACGGAUCGCAUGGCCUUGCGCCGGCGACGGUUCAUUCAAAUUUCUGCCCUAUCAACUUUCGAUGGUAAGGUAUUGGCUUACCAUGGUUUCAACGGGUAACGGGGAAUUAGGGUUCGAUUCCGGAGAGGGAGCCUGAGAAACGGCUACCACAUCCAAGGAAGGCAGCAGGCGCGCAAAUUACCCAAUCCCGACACGGGGAGGUAGUGACAAUAAAUACUGAUACAGGGCUCUUUUGGGUCUUGUAAUUGGAAUGAGUACAAUUUAAACCUCUUAACGAGGAACAAUUGGAGGGCAAGUCUGGUGCCAGCAGCCGCGGUAAUUCCAGCUCCAAUAGCGUAUAUUAAAGUUGUUGCAGUUAAAAAGCUCGUAGUUGAAACUUGGGUCUGGCUGGCAGGUCCGCCUCACCGCGUGUACUUGUCCGGCCGGGCCUUCCUUCUGGAGAACCUCAUGCCCUUCAUUGGGCGUGUUGGGGACCAGGACUUUUACUUUGAAAAAAUUAGAGUGUUCAAAGCAGGCCUUUGCUCGAAUACGUUAGCAUGGAAUAAUAGAAUAGGACGUGCGGUCCUAUUUUGUUGGUUUCUAGGACCGCCGUAAUGAUUAAUAGGGACAGUCGGGGGCAUCAGUAUUCAAUUGUCAGAGGUGAAAUUCUUGGAUUUAUUGAAGACUAACUACUGCGAAAGCAUUUGCCAAGGAUGUUUUCAUUAAUCAGUGAACGAAAGUUAGGGGAUCGAAGACGAUCAGAUACCGUCGUAGUCUUAACCGUAAACUAUGCCGACUAGGGAUCGGGCGAUGUUCUUUUUCUGACUCGCUCGGCACCUUACGAGAAAUCAA